AUGAGCAAGGCUUUGGCACCUCGAUACCAGGGAUUGUCAACAUAUGGAAAAGAGUAUUUGGCAGUGAUAGUGGUUGUGGACCAAUGGCGCCCUUACCUUCAACACAGAGAAUUUACAAUCCAUACAGACCAGAAAAGCCUCAUUCAUCUCGAAGAGCAACGCCUAGCGACCCCGUGGCAGAGGAAAGCGUUCACUAAGCUGUUGGGGCUGCAAUACACCAUCAAAUACAAGAAGGGGAAGGAGAAUAUAGCUGGCUAA
Molecule: ribosomal RNA, 258 nt
Filed under: Triticum aestivum (bread wheat)
Lineage: Eukaryota; Viridiplantae; Streptophyta; Magnoliopsida; Poales; Poaceae
Description: partial small subunit ribosomal RNA
Source: RNAcentral